This 465-nucleotide ribosomal RNA is filed under the name uncultured bacterium. Its description in RNAcentral is "bacterial SSU rRNA". It matches the Rfam family "Bacterial small subunit ribosomal RNA", at positions 338 to 795 of the family's 1533-position model. The record is from RNAcentral.
CCUACGGGUGGCAGCAGUCGAGGAUCAUUUGCAAUGGGCGAAAGCCUGACAAUGCGACGCUGCGUGGAGGAUGAAGGCCUUCGGGUUGUAAACUCCUGUCAUAAGGGAACAGGCGAGGGUACCCAAUACGUACCUGAGUUGAGUGUACUUUAAGAGGAAGCGACGGCUAACUCUGUGCCAGCAGCCGCGGUAAUACAGAGGUCGCAAGCGUUGUUCGGAUUUACUGGGCGUAAAGGGCGCGUAGGCGGUCCCAUGUGUCGGAUGUGAAAUCUCCGGGCUCAACCCGGAAAGUGCGUCCGAAACUGUGGGACUCGAGUCUGGGAGAGGGAAUCGGAAUGCAGGGUGUAGCGGUGAAAUGCGUUGAUAUCCUGCAGAACACCGGAGGCGAAGGCGGAUUCCUUGAACAGCACUGACGCUGAGGCGCGAAAGUCGGGGGAGCAAACAGGAUUAGAUACCCGGGUAGUC